RNAcentral lists this ribosomal RNA (400 nucleotides) under uncultured bacterium. RNAcentral describes it as "bacterial SSU rRNA". It matches the Rfam family "Bacterial small subunit ribosomal RNA", at positions 355 to 752 of the family's 1533-position model. The record is from RNAcentral.
UGAGGAAUAUUGGUCAAUGGACGAGAGUCUGAACCAGCCAUGCCGCGUGCAGGAUGACUGCCCUAUGGGUUGUAAACUGCUUUUAUUGGGGAAUAAACCUUUCUACGUGUAGGAAGCUGAAGGUACUCAAUGAAUAAGCACCGGCUAACUCCGUGCCAGCAGCCGCGGUAAUACGGAGGGUGCAAGCGUUAUCCGGAAUCAUUGGGUUUAAAGGGUCCGCAGGCGGAUUUAUAAGUCAGUGGUGAAAGCCUAUUGCUCAACAAUAGAACUGCCAUUGAUACUGUAAGUCUUGAAUUCGGUCGAAGUGGGCGGAAUAUGACAUGUAGCGGUGAAAUGCUUAGAUAUGUCAUAGAACACCGAAAGCGAAGGCAGCUCACUAGGCCUGGAUUGACGCUCAGGG